RNAcentral lists this ribosomal RNA (1498 nucleotides) under Candidatus Komeilibacteria bacterium RIFOXYD1_FULL_37_29. RNAcentral describes it as "bacterial SSU rRNA". It matches the Rfam family "Bacterial small subunit ribosomal RNA". Lineage: Bacteria; Candidatus Komeiliibacteriota. The record is from RNAcentral.
UUUUAACUAAGAGUUUGAUCCUGGCUCAGGGUGAACGCUGGCGGCAUGUCUAAGGCAUGCAAGUCGAAUGCUUAGUUUACUAAGCAUGGCAAACGGGAGAGUAACACGUUGGUAAUCUACCUCUGUCUCAGGGAUAACCCGGAGAAAUCUGGAGUAAUACCUGAUAGGUAUGGGGGGACAUAAGUCAUUCCCAUAUAAAGAUCCGUCGGAUGGAGAGGAGCCUACGGCACAUCAGCUUGUUGGUAAGGUAACGGCUUACCAAGGCUACGACGUGUAGCGGGUGUGAGAGCAUGGCCCGUCUCACUGGAACUGAGAUACUGUCCAGACUCCUACGGGAGGCUGCAGUCGAGAAUCUUCCUCAAUGGACGAAAGUCUGAAGGAGCAAUGCCGCGUGAUCGAUGACGCUUUUCGGAGUGUAAAGAUCUUUUAUCAGGGACGAAUUCGUGACGGUACCUGAUGAAUAAGUCACUGCUAACUACGUGCCAGCAGCAGCGGUAAUACGUAGGUGGCGAGCGUUACCCGGAUUGAUUGGGCGUAAAGGGUCUGUAGGCGGUUUGAAUAGUCGUUGGUCAAAUCUUGAGGCUUAACUUCAAGACUGCCAACGAUACUCUCAAACUAGAGGCUGGGAGAGGCAAACGGAAGUGCCGGUGUAGUAGUAAAAUGCGUUGAUAUCGGCAGGAACACCAAAAGCGAAGGCAGUUUGCUAGAACAGUUCUGACGCUCAGGGACGAAAGCAUGGGGAGCGAAUGGGAUUAGAUACCCCAGUAGUCCAUGCUGUAAACGUUGGGUACUAAGCAUUAGGAGUAUCGACCCUCCUAGUGCUGUUUAAUUAAGCUAACGCCUUAAGUACCCCGCCUGGGAAGUACGGUCGCAAGACUAAAACUCAAAGGAAUUGACGGGAGCCCGCACAAGCGGUGGAGCAUGUGGUUUAAUUCGACGAUAAGCGGGGAACCUUACCAAGACUUGACAUAUAGCUGCAAAUUCUAGGAAACUAGAACCUCUUCGAGAGUGCUAUACAGGUGCUGCAUGGUUGUCGUCAGCUCGUGUCGUGAGAUGUUGGGUUAAGUCCCUUAACGAGCGCAACCCUUAUUCUAUGUUAAAUAUUCAUAGGAGACUGCCCCGGUUUAACGGGGAGGAAGGCGAGGAUGACGUCAAAUCAGCAUGGCUCUUACGUCUUGGGCCACACACGUGCUACAAUGGCCAAUACAAUGGGUCGCAAAACCGUAAGGUGAAGCCAAUCCCAUCAAAGUUGGUCUCAGUUCGGAUUGAGGUCUGCAACUCGACCUCAUGAAGUUGGAAUCGCUAGUAAACGCUGAUCAGCUACGCAGCGUUGAAUACGUUCUCGGGCUUUGUACACACCGCCCGUCACACCAAGAGAGUCGGUAGCACCCGAAGGCUGACAUUAGUUGGACGAAGGUGAAAUCGAUGAUAGGGGUGAAGUCGUAACAAGGCAUCCGUAGCGGAAGCUGUGGAUGGAUCACCUCCUUUCUAAGGAGUA